RNAcentral lists this ribosomal RNA (253 nucleotides) under uncultured bacterium. Its description in RNAcentral is "partial 16S ribosomal RNA". It matches the Rfam family "Bacterial small subunit ribosomal RNA", at positions 524 to 776 of the family's 1533-position model. The record is from RNAcentral.
UACGUAGGGGGCAAGCGUUGUCCGGAAUCAUUGGGCGUAAAGCGCGUGUAGGCGGUUGGGUAAGUCUGCUGUGAAAGUCCAGGGCUCAACCCUGGGAUGCCGGUGGAUACUGUCGGACUAGAGUACGGAAGAGGCGAGUGGAAUUCCCGGUGUAGCGGUGAAAUGCGUAGAGAUCGGAAAGAACACCAACGGCGAAAGCACUCUGCUGGGCCGACACUGACACUGAGAGACGAAAGCUAGGGGAGCGAAUGGG